RNAcentral lists this ribosomal RNA (570 nucleotides) under uncultured fungus. RNAcentral describes it as "eukaryotic LSU rRNA". The stretch from base 208 to 361 matches the Rfam family "5.8S ribosomal RNA". Lineage: Eukaryota; Fungi. The record is from RNAcentral.
CGUAACAAGGUCUCCGUAGGUGAACCUGCGGAGGGAUCAUUACACAAAUAUGAAGGCGGGCUGGAACCUCUCGGGGUUACAGCCUUGCUGAAUUAUUCACCCUUGUCUUUUGCGUACUUCUUGUUUCCUUGGUGGGUUCGCCCACCACUAGGACAAACAUAAACCUUUUGUAAUUGCAAUCAGCGUCAGUAACAAAUUAAUAAUUACAACUUUCAACAACGGAUCUCUUGGUUCUGGCAUCGAUGAAGAACGCAGCGAAAUGCGAUAAGUAGUGUGAAUUGCAGAAUUCUGUGAAUCAUCGAAUCUUUGAACGCACAUUGCGCCCUUUGGUAUUCCAAAGGGCAUGCCUGUUCGAGCGUCAUUUGUACCCUCAGGCUUUGCUUGGUGUUGGGCGUCUUGUCUCUAGCUUUGCUGGAGACUCGCCUUAAAGUAAUUGGCAGCCGGCCUACUGGUUUCGGAGCGCAGCACAAGUCGCACUCUCUAUCAGCAAAGGUCUAGCAUCCAUUAAGCCUUUUUUUCAACUUUUGACCUCGGAUCAGGUAGGGAUACCCGCUGAACUUAAGCAUAUCA